AUUGAACGCUGGCGGCGUGCCUAACACAUGCAAGUCGAGCGGUAACAGGUGUAGCAAUACAUGCUGACGAGCGGCGGACGGGUGAGUAACGCUUGGGAAUCUGCCUAUUAGGUGGGGGACAACCCGGGGAAACUCGGGCUAAUACCGCAUACGCUCUACGGAGGAAAGCCGGGGACCGCAAGGCCUGGCGCUAAUAGAUGAGCCCAAGUCGGAUUAGCUAGUUGGUAGGGUAAUGGCCUACCAAGGCGACGAUCCGUAACUGGUCUGAGAGGACGACCAGUCACACCGGAACUGAGACACGGUCCGGACUCCUACGGGAGGCAGCA
This 326-nucleotide ribosomal RNA is filed under the name uncultured bacterium. Its description in RNAcentral is "bacterial SSU rRNA". It matches the Rfam family "Bacterial small subunit ribosomal RNA", at positions 30 to 353 of the family's 1533-position model. The record is from RNAcentral.